GCGGAAGUAGCUCAGCUGGUAGAGCAUCACCUUGCCAUGGUGGGGGUCGCGGGUUCGAAUCCCGUCUUCCGCU
Molecule: transfer RNA, 73 nt
Filed under: Rubrobacter sp.
Lineage: Bacteria; Bacillati; Actinomycetota; Rubrobacteria; Rubrobacterales; Rubrobacteraceae
Also listed under: 2 other names
Description: tRNA-Gly
Rfam family: tRNA
About the family: Transfer RNA (tRNA) molecules are approximately 80 nucleotides in length.
Source: RNAcentral